UACGGAGGAUGCGAGCGUUAUCCGGAAUCAUUGGGUUUAAAGGGUCCGUAGGCGGCCUUAUAAGUCAGUGGUGAAAUCUCCUAGCUCAACUAGGAAACUGCCAUUGAUACUGUAGGGCUUGAAUUAUUGGGAAGUAACUAGAAUAUGUAGUGUAGCGGUGAAAUGCUUAGAUAUUACAUGGAAUACCAAUUGCGAAGGCAGGUUACUAUCAAUAUAUUGACGCUGAUGGACGAAAGCGUGGGGAGCGAACAGG
Molecule: ribosomal RNA, 253 nt
Filed under: uncultured bacterium
Lineage: Bacteria
Also listed under: 2 other names
Description: partial 16S ribosomal RNA
Rfam family: Bacterial small subunit ribosomal RNA
Source: RNAcentral